Molecule: long non-coding RNA, 30338 nt
Filed under: Hordeum vulgare
Lineage: Eukaryota; Viridiplantae; Streptophyta; Magnoliopsida; Poales; Poaceae
Description: long non-coding RNA (HVUL_LNC013953)
Source: RNAcentral
UCCUACACCAAGUCCACACAGAUCGACACCACAAGCCCUCAUCCUCCGCUGCCCAUCUGCCAAAGCAAACAAGAACACACAAGACAGUUCAGGCAGGCAUGGAUGCAGAGUUCACCUGAGUUGGGAGGGACUGACUAGCCAACCAUGCAAAUGCAAGCAGGGCGGAGAAUUAGUAGCCGAUGUCGGCGCCGUCGUCGACCAAGGUCGCCGUUGAUGCCGGGGAUAGGUAUCGAUCACACGGUGUUAUGGGCCCUGGUCAAGAUCGCAGGAGGAGACGCUUCAAUCUGGCGAGAUCCCGGCUCUCGUUGCUGCUCUCUCGGAGGUGGAUCUCAUCUGGGAUAAUAUAUAUGGCAGAAUUUCCAAGGAAAUGCACGGUUGCCUUGUCGGCUGAGUGUAACUUCCAGGUCGCAACCUUUGUACGAGCAGCCGAAUGAGCAGGAACGAGUACACAUCACAUUUUAUUGACUCAUGCGUGGGUGGUGUAAACAACGGAAAUGAUUUGCGUACGACGAUGCAUGUCCGAAGCACGUACGACGAUGCAUCCGCAUCGUGAGCUAGCUAACCCGUUGAAAGACAUACGGCUUGAUUUGAUGGUCGUACGUGGUUCGGAUGAGAAUCGUCGUACGUGUAGCACUGCUCAGUCUUGGGUGGUGUAAACAAAGUCUUCUUAGGGUAUGUACAAUGGUUGAUAAGAUAGUUUUAUUUCAAGUUUUACAUGUAAUUUAUAGAUGAUAAAAAAAGUCUUACAAUGAAUCACCUCUUAAUUGUUCUCUCUUAAAUAAGAAAAGACAAAUUUUUUUUAUGAGUUAUCUUUCCUCCACCUCAUCAUUUAUCUUACAUGACACUACUAAGAUAGCAUCAUUGUACAUGUCCUUAUGUGACAGGAAAAAAAAACCAACAGCCCUACCAGGAAAUAAAACAAACGUGUGAAGCACGUGUUGUGCAUGAGAGUGAUUUUGUUUUCUUAACUCAUGCCUUUUGGUUUAUUGCACUAUCUUUCUUUUAACACGCAAGCGUUUAUAUACACGUACAUAGACUGAGCCGGCAUAUCAUGAAAUUUAUGAAUAAAUUCAGAAAUAAAUGCGAACAUCAGGAUUUAAACCCUGAUGAGCUAUGAAUAUCACAAUCUCUCUAACCAUCCAACCACAGACUGGUUCGCAUUGUACUCUUCGUCGUACUAUCUUUUCAAUGUGUUACUUGUUGUCCUUAAUAAUUAUCAUAUCUAAGAUGCCCUUUGGGUGUGUUUCGUACUAUGAAAAAGGGUCCUGCAUGGAUAGAGAGAGCGUGUGCUGACGAGACAGCAUAAAAUGUUUCACCAGUUAGUUAAUAGAGUGUCACAUAAAUAAAAUACAUAGUCCGGGUAGGAAAAAUACUCCACGAUGCUUGAGUGCCCUUGACCAAAGCCUAGCGCCCUCGAUCGCCCCAUCCUUUCCUCCCUGGCUACUACCUCAGAUCACCGCCAAUCCGCAUGACUUCCAAGGACGACAGCGGCGAAGCUCCCUCCUUGAGCAACACCUUGGUACUUGUACGCCUCUUCCUACUGAGCGACGUCGUUGUGCUCUCCGUUGGUUCCUUGGUGGUUGCGUUUUUCUGUUGCCAUUUUUGUUGGCGAUGCUCCGCCCCUCCUUUGGACGGAGCAUUGCCAGUAUAUGGACUUUUUUUUAGAAUAACUGCAUAUUUUUUAACCAGCAAAUGUUACAAACAUAGCACAUACAUAACAUCGCUGAGAGAGCACGAGAGACCAAAGGUGUCCCAACACAAAUGCAAAAAGGUCUCAAAAAGGAGAAAAUACAAUCUGAACCCCCGGGGGCCUUAAUGCAUGAAGAACCAACACCAGUCGCUGACCGCCGCCAUCGACGACGAGACGAACGGCGAAGGAGGACGCCAGAAACCAUCAAACCCUGAGCCGAGGGCACACCAUCACUGAAAAGGGCUUUCUGAGUCGAAGAUGAGCCCGGUCGCAAACGGUGAGGCAUAGCCGUUGUGGCACGUCGACCGGGGAAAGUCCCCGUGCAAAUCCUCGGCUCCAGUUUCGGCACCUCCGUUGGACGAAGUCGAAGGAGAAUUACCAGAUCUACCGCCACAAACCACCACGAGAGUGUUGAGUCACCAAGUCUCUCGCCAACAGCCGCGGUCACCGCACGGGCCGGUGACCAACGCUGGCCCGAGCACUCCUAUACAAGACUCUGUCGGCUUCCCAUCGACACUGAAGAACGUGUCGAUGUGGCAGAGACGAAGCCGAGGGAACAAAACUCCCGAUGUCCCCUGCUUGACCAAAUCCGAGCACGCCAAGCCUGUCGCCGCACACGUCGGCCAGGCCAAACCUAACCUCACCGCCCAAGACGAGCGGCAGGAAUCUACGCCGAGCAGCGCCCGAGGAAACACCACCGAGACGGAGGCGGAACCGGAGGACAAAAGGCACGAGCUGGGCAGCCGUCGCCGCCUCGUCGACCCAGCCCCACCACCCAGAUAUCGCCAGCCACGCGAAACCUGCGAGCAGACCGAAGCUCCCAGCCUUCUCGCCCACCGCAACGCAUACCACCGCGUUGGGGAGAGAGCAGGGGCACCCUUAUUAGCCGCACUCGCCAUUCCCACCGGAGAUGCGAAAACGACCAGCCACCACCAAGCUACAAAGCCUACCUAGACUACACCUGUACAAGCCAUGCCCCCGGAUCCGACGACCCCAACCUGCACCGAAGAGCAUGAAGUCCCGGGGGAGAUGGCGUCGCCGGAUCCAAAGCCGGCAAAGGAGUCGCCUCUCACUAGUGGAAAACGGGCCUUUGGCCAGGACCCUUUAGUCCCGGCCUGCCUCUGGGCCGGGACUAAAGGCCCGGCCACGUCGCCCCAAUUCUCAAUGCCUCCCUCGAGGCUUUAGUCCCGGCCCGUAAGGAGCCUUUAGUCCCGGUUCAUGUUCCAAACCGGGACUAAAGGGCUACGCGGCGGGUAGUGGUGGUGGCAACCGUUCGUAUCCCCCUUUAGUCCCGGUUGGUGGCUCAACCCGGGACUAAAUCCCUAACCCGUGCCCUGCCGUAGUGGUGGUAACCGUUGGUAUACCUCUUUAGUCCCGGUUGGUGGCUCAACCCGGGACUAAAUCCCUAACACGUGGCCUGCCGUAGUGGUGGUAACCGUUGGUAUACCUCUUUAGUCCCGGUUGGUGGCUCACCCCGGGACUAAAUCCCUAACCCGUGCCCUGCCGUAGUGGUGGUAACCGUUGGUAUACCUCUUUAGUCCCGGUUGGUGGCUCAACCCGGGACUAAAGGCCCAAACGGUUUGCAUCCCGCGUCGUUUCGGGCGAUGAAAAGCACGAACCAAAGCAGAGUCGCCAUUUCUCUGUUUCUUCUUCUCUCUCGCUCUCGCUCUGUUCUUCUCCUCUCUUCUUCCAUCAUGCCAACUCGCUUUGGAGAGGUGCUCGCACAUGGCAAGACCAAGCUCGAUGUCGUGUACACGAACGAGAGCAGGGAGAUGCCGUAUUUUCUUGAACAGUUGAAGGAACGAUGGCUUGACGCCGCAAUGGAUCAUGAGAAGUUCUUGGGGCUUGAUCUGGAGUACACGGCCGAUCAACGCGGUGUUGCCGUCAUCCAACUAUGCUUCGCACACCAUGUCUUGAUCUUCCAAUGGGCGAGGUAAGUUUUGAGGCUUUCUUUGAUCCAAGGUAAUGACAUUGUAAGUUUAUUUGUUUCAAUCAUAGUUGGUUCCCUUCAAAUAGUUGUAGUGAAACAAUUUUGAUUAGUUGAAGGGGAACACAAUCUGAUUGGAAUAGUGUUCCAUAAUCUGAAAAAUCGUAUUAGAAUCAACUAGUGUUUAAUAUGUUCCAUUGGAAUCAUAGUUGGUUCGCUUCAAAUAGUUGUAGUGAAACAAUUUUGAUUAGUUGAAGGGAACACAAUCUGAUUGGAAUAGUGUUUCACAAUCUGAAAAAUCUGAUUGGUUCAAUAUGUUCCAUUGAAAUCAUAGUUGUAGUGAUACAAUUUUAUGCGGUGUUAUUUGAUCCAAGGUUAUGAAAAUUGCAUAUAGCUAGUGAUCUCUCUAGGUUCCAUUUGAUAGCAAUAUGAUAUGUCAUAGUCAUGAAAAUUGCAUAUAGCUAGUGAUCUCUCUAGGUUCCAUUGGAUAGCUAUAGUGAUCUCUCUAGGUUCCAUUGCAUAUGUUCUAUUUGAAUCCUAAAGAUAAUUUUCUCUUUAGUUGUAGUGAAACAUGUUUCCUUAUUGCAGCAGUAUGUAACAUUUUCCAUUUUAAUUUGUUUCUGUUGCAGUAGUGACAAGCAUUGUCCAGAACUCAUGGACUUCCUGCGCAGCGGCAUCACUUUUGCUACCGUUGACAUAACGAACGACAAGCUGAAGAUGAGGUACAGCUUCGGUAUUGAGAUACCAACUGGUUGCCUCAUUGAUCUCCAAACGGUAUUCAGGCUUCGACAUGUCAGGACUUCGAUGGCUCAUAUGGCAGUUGCCUUGAUCGACGAGGAAUAUGGUGAUAUGAAGACCAAUUUUCCCAAAGUCUCAGCACAAACUUUGGGAGAAGGCCCCACUUGAUCGUAUCAACAUUGAGUAUGCAACAAAAGAUGCAUACGUUUCAUACGAGUUGUACCGCAAGAUUCGAGUCGUCAACUAUGGCCAGCGUCACCUCGAAUAAGGUGGACAUUCUGAUUCGAGUCGUCAACUAUGAAAACUAAUUCCCGAACACCAAACGAGGCAUCACGUUAAUCUUCCGAACACCUAAACCCUAAAAUCCUAAAACCCAAAAAUAAUUUCAUUCAAAAAAAACCCAAAAAUAAGCAAAAUCUAAAACUCUUUAGUCCCGGUCCGUGUAACGAGCCGGGACUAAAGGGCCUGCCCCUGAGGCGCUACGAGGCGCCCACGUGGAGCAUCUUUAGUCCCGGCUUGUAACAGGGCCGGGACUAAAGGUUAGGCGUCCCGGUUGGUGAACCGGGACUAAAGUCCCUUACGGGCCGGGGCUAAAGGCCCCGUCUCCACUAGUGUCUGGCAGUAUAUGGACUUGUGGUAACCUUUGUUAGGACUUAGGUGCUCCAUCCCUGUUCCUCACCUCUCACCUGAUUUGGACGCCCACCGGUUUGGUCUGGCCUAGUAUCUUUUUCCAGUCAUUUCUCGGUUAGAUGCGGAAGAUUUGCCGCAUGAUCUAGCGAUUGCAUCUGACGUUUUUCUUGACUGGUGAUUAAAGUUGGUCGUUAAGGUCUUGUUGAACGUACGUGUGGACCAAAAUAUGUUUUUAUCUUUGUGACAAGUACAAUGACCGCUGUUGUAUUUAUCUCUCAUCUCAACCCUCAACUAAAUUCUAUGUGAAUUCCUAGUAUCUCUUGCAAUCCCUGGUAUCCAUCAAUUGGUUCUGUCGCGCUCCUAAGUUCUCCUUCCCUCUCCGAUCAUAUAUCUCUUUAGUCGAAUCAUGGCAAGGUCAUGUCAAGACCCAAAUGUUUUUUCAAAAAGAUAGUAUAAACACACACACUCACAUCCAUGAACGCACAUACGCACGUUCUAUUCCUAUAAGCACAUUUGAAAGGCUGAGCCGGCGGAUGUUAAGAUUGACAAAGUCACAACAAACGUCACAUCACUCUAUGGACAGAAACAUUGCCUCCCAUUGAGAGUACAUUUCGCGUUUAUCACACACCAAAGCAUCAACAUUUAAUUCCUUGUGUUAGGAAUUAAUUAAAUGUAUUAAUUAAUGGAAUAAUCCAUGCGUUGCCGGUUGCCUUGAUUUAGCAACCGUUCCUUGUAACCGACUCUGUACUCGGGGUAUAAAUACCCCGCAUCUUCAAUCAAUAAUAAUUGUUCCAUCAUUCUGUCACUUUCACUGUUUUACACGUUAUCAGCACUCGCUCUGCCGAGAGCGACAGAGAGCCACGAGAAAGGUCAGAAUGGCAGGAAGAGAGUUGUCUGCACUUGCUUUUGCUUUCGCACGCUUCCUGCAGAAAGAGAACACCCGCUUCCCUCGCACUCAGCGCCACCGCAUUGCACGUCGCCAUCAGGGUCUUGGUGCAAGGAAUGGCCCUCAUCGCCGUUCCUUCACCAGGAACCACCGCCAGAACCGGAGUGGCCCUCAUCGCCGCUUCUUCGCCGGGAACCACCGCCAGAACCACCGCCGUGGGUAUGCACGUCGAGGCAACCAACCACUUCGUGGGCGUGCACCAACGGUGCACCAGGCUGGAUCCUCGACUCCGGCCACCGCUCCACUACAACAGGCUGGUGUUGUAGAUAUGCCCUAGAGGCAAUAAUAAAUUAGUUAUUAUUAUAUUUCUUAGNNNNNNNNNNNNNNNNNNNNNNNNNNNNNNNNNNNNNNNNNNNNNNNNNNNNNNNNNNNNNNNNNNNNNNNNNNNNNNNNNNNNNNNNNNNNNNNNNNNNUGGAUAAUAAACUAUUAUCUUGAUACAGGAAUUAUAAUAAUAACUAUGCAUUUAUUAUUGCCUCUAGGGCAUAAUUCCAACAGUGCCUUCUAGUUGCACUGUCUGUACCCAGACAGUUUAUAACUCUUCCGCUGGCUUGUAUUUGUAUGACUGCUAUUAUGGGUCGAGAGACCUUAAUGUGUAAUAUUAUGUGUGUGGCUCUUNNNNNNNNNNNNNNNNNNNNNNNNNNNNNCUUCCGAGCCUCUUAAAUAAAGCUUGUAUGUUUAUGGUUAUGUUGUGAUGCCAUCGAUGUAUCUAUACAUAUCGGUAUGCCAUGCGUACGUGUGUCUUACUUGGUAUGUAUGGGGUUCGAAUACCUAGUCGUGAACUUUAGUAGCACUCCUUACAAGGAAAUGCCCCUUUGUGAUCCAACGAGCCUUGGUAGUUCGCUACUGCUCCGGACACAUUGGUUGACCGGCAUGUGUCCUUCUUAGCUGCUGUGUCUGUCCCCUUUGGGGAAAUUUCACGCGAUGUAAUGGAGUCCUUGUAGCUUGCUACGACUCGUCUACAUUCGCCGAUGACCGACACCUGCUUUGUUGGGUCAUGUAUGCCUGUCCUUGUGCGGUACUGCCACUUUGGUUUAUGACUAGACAUGUCGAUCCGGGUUCUUUGACAUUGGAUUGCUAGCGACACUAUCGCAUACGUGAGUCAAAAGACGCAAACGGUCCCGGCUAAGGUAAGGCUGCAGCCGUGGAGUUAACCGUGCGUGAGACCACAAAGGGAUGCGAUGUGUUACAGGCUAGAUUCCUAUGGCUUAGGAUCGAGGUCCCGACACUUUAAAAUAUCCAUUUGUACUUAACGGUCUUACGACCAUCAAGUAGUUCUUCCAAAGUCUACACUUUGUUUUCAUACAUGGAUCCUCUCUCGGAUUUCAUGGCCUCCAGCCAUUUAUCGGAAUUCGAGCCCACCAUCGCUUCUCCAUAGCUCGUAGGUUCAUUGUUGUUCAACAACAUGACCUCCAAGACAGGGUCACCGUACCACUCUGUAGCAGUACGCGACCUUGUCGACCUACGAGGUUUGUAGUAGCUUGAUCAGAAGCUUAAUGAUCACAAUCAUUAGUUUCCACUUCAAUUUGCGUAGGCGCCACAUGAACAAAUUCCUGCGCCCUGCUACACACUAGUUGAAGUGAUGGUUCAAUAACCUCAUCAAGUUCCACCAUCCUCCCACUCAGUUCUUUCGAGAGAAACUUUUCCUCGAGAAAGGACCCGUUUCUAGAAACAAACACUUUGCUUCCGGAUCUGAGAUAGGAGGUAUACCCAACUAUUUUGGGUGUCCUAUGAAGAUGCGUUUAUCCGCUCUGGGUUCGAGCUUAUCAUGCUGAAACUUUUCCACAUGAGCAUCGCAGCCCCAAACUUUUAAGAAACGACAGCUUAGGUUUCUCCAAACCAUAGUUCAUACGGUGUCAUCUCAACGGAAUUACGUGGUACCCUAUUUAAAGUGAAUGUGGUUGUCUCUAAUGCCUAACCCAAAACGAUAGUGGUAUUUCGAUAAGAGACAUCAUAGUAUGCACCAUAUCAAAUAGGGCGCGGCUAUGACAUUCAGACAAACCAUCACACUAUGGUGUUCUAGGUGGCAUGAACUGCAAAACAAUUUCCACAUUGUCUUAACCGUGUACCAAAACUCGCAGCUCAGAUAUUCAUCUCUAUGAUCAUAUCGUAGACAGUUUAUCCUCUUGUCACGAUGAUCUUCACUCUGGAAUAGCUUUGAACUUUUCAAUAUUUCAGACUUGUGAUUCAUCAAGUAAAUACUCAUGUAUCUACUCAAAUCAUCAGUGAAGUGAGAACAUAACGAUAUCCACUGCGUGCCUUAGCACUCAUUGGACUGCACAUAUCAAAAAUCUAUUGCAUCCAACAAGUUACUUUCUUGUUCCAUGUGGUAUGAUUUUGCAUGUCUCAAGUGAGUUAAAAUCAAGUGAUUCCAAACGAUCCAUCUGCAUGGAGUUUCUUCAUGCGUUUAUACCAACAGGUAUGGUUUCCAUGUCUCAAACGUUUCAAAAAUGAGUGAGUACAAAGAUCCAUAAGCAUGGAGUUUCUUCAUGCAUUUUACACCAACAUGACUCAAGCGGCAGUGCCACAAGUAAGUGGUUCUAUCAUUAUUACUUUGUAUCUUUUGGCACCACUAUUAUGAAUAUGUGUAACACUACGAUCGAGAUUCAAUAAAUCAUUGAAGGUAAUUAUUCAAGAAAAUAGAAUAACCAUUAUUCUCUUUAAAUGAAUAAUCGUAUUGCAAUAAACACGAUCCAAUCAUGUUCAUGCUCAAAGCAAACACCAAAUAACAAUUAUUUAGGUUUAACACCAAUCCCGAUGGUAGAGGGAGCGUGCGAUGUUUUGAUCACAUCAACCUUGGAAACACUUUCAACACGUAUCGUCACCUCGCCUUUAGCUAGUCUCCGUUUAUUUCGUAGCUUUUAUUUCGAGUUACCAAUCACUUAGCAACCGAACCGGUAUCUAAUACCCUCGUGCUACUAGGAGUACUAGUAAAGUACACAUCAAUAUCAUGUAUAUCAAAUAUACUUCUGUUGACUUCGCCAGCCUACUCAUCUACCAAGUAUAUAGGGUAGCUCCGCCUCAGUGACCGUUCACCUCAUAACAAAAGCACUUAAUCUCGGGUUUGGGUUCAAUCUUGGGUUUCUUCAUUAGAGCAGCAACUGGUUUGUCGUUUCAUGAAGUAUCUCUUCUAGCCCUUGCCCUUCUUGAAACUAGUGGUUUUACUAACCAUCAACAAUUGAUGCUCCUUCUUGAUUUCUACUUUCGUAGUGUCAAACAUUGUGAAUCGCUCAAGGAUCAUCAUAUAUAUCCUUGAUAUGUUAUAGUUCAUCACGAAGCUCUAGCAGCUUGGUGGCAGUGACUUUGGAGAACCAUCACUAUCUCAUCUGGAAGAUUAACUCCCACUUGAUUCAAGCGAUUGUUAUACUGAGCACAUGCUCAACGAUUGAGCUUUUCUCCUUUACUUUGUAGACAAAGAAUCUUGUUGGAGGUCUCAUACCUUUCAACAAGGGCACGAGCAUGAAAUCUCAAUUUCAUAUCUUAGAACAUCUUUUAUGUUCCGUGACGUUUCAAAAUGUCUUCGGCGUCUUGCAUCUAAGCCAUUAAGUAUUACGCACUGAACUAUCACGUAGUCAUGAAAAAUGUGUAUGUCAGAUGUUCGCAACAUCCACAGACGACGCUUGAGGUGCAGCACACCGAGUGGUGCAUUAAGGACAUAAGCCUUCUACGCAGCAAUGAGGACAAUCCUCAGUUUUACGUACUCAGUCCGCAAAGUUACUACUAUCAUCUUUCAACUAAAUUUUCUCUAGGAACAUAUAAAAAAACAGUAGAGCUAUAGCGCAAGCUACAUCAUAAUUCGCAAAGACCUUUUGACCAUGCUCAUGAUAAUUAGUUCAAUUAAUCAUAUUACUUAAGAACUCCCACUCAAAAAAUACAUCCCUCUAGUCAUUUCAGUGGUGCAUGAUCCAAAUCCACUAACCCAAGUCCGAUCAUCACGUGAGUUGCGUAUAGUUUCAGUGGUAAACAUCUCUAUGCUAAUCAUAUCAACUAUAUGAUUCAUGCUCGACCUUUCGGUCUCUUGUGUUCCGAGGCCAUGUCUGCACAUGCUAAGCUCGUCAAGUUUAACCCGAGUGUUCCGCGUGUGCAACUGUUUUGCACCCGUUGUAUGCGAACGUUGAGUCUAUCACACCCGAUCAUCACGUGGUGUCUCGAAACGACGAACUGUCGCAACGGUGCAUAGUCGGGGAGAACACAAUUUUAUCUUGAAAUUUUAGUGAAGGAUCACGUUAUAAUGCUACCAUCGUUCUAAGAAAGAUAAGGUGCAUAAAAGGAUUAACAGCACAUGCAAUUCAUAAGUGACAUGAUAUGGCCAUGAUCUUGUGCUUCUUGAUCUCCAUCACCAAAGCACCGACAUGAUCUUCAUCGUCACCGGCACCACACCAUGAUCUCCACCAUCGUGCCGCCAUCGAGGUUGUCGUGCUAUAUACGCUAUCACUACUAAAGCUACAACCUAGCGAUAUAGUAAACGCAUAUGCAAACACAAACGUUAGUUUAAAGACAACCUUAUGGAUCCUGCCAGUUGCCGUAGCAUCGACGUGCAAGUCGAUAUUUAACUAUUACAAAAUGAUCAUCUCAUACAUCCAAUAUAUCACAUCAUGUCUUUGGCCAUAUCACAUCACAUGCAUACCCUGCAAAAACAAGUUAGACAUCCUCUAAUUUGUUGUUGCAUGUUUUACGUGGCUCCUAUGGGUAUCUAGUAUGAUCGCAUCUUACUUACGCAUAGCCACAACGGUAAUAUGCAAAUUGCUAUUUAACCUUUCUCCAAGGACCGCCUCGGUCAAAUCCGAUUCAACUAAAGUUGAAGAAACAGACACCCGCCAGUCAUCUUUAUGCAACAAGUUGCAUGUUAGUCGAUGAAACCGGUCUCUUGUAAGCGUACGAUUAAGGUUGGUUUGGGCCGCUUCAAUCCAACAAUACCGCCGAAUCGAGAAAAUACUAAGGAGGGCAGCAAAUUGAACAUCAAUGCCCACAAAAACUUGUUUGUUCUACUCGAGAUUACAUCUACGCAUGAACCUAGCUCAUGAUGCCACUAUUGGGGAACGUUUCAUGGGAAACUAAAAAAUUCCUACACACACGAAGACCUAUCAUGGUGAUGAUCAUCUACGAGAGGGAGAUCGGGUCCACAUACCCUUGUAGAUCGCUAAGUGGAAAUGUUAAGAAACGUGUAUGAUGUAGUGGUAUGUCUUCACGAUCCGUCCCACGAACCGUCUCACGAUCCGUCCCGAUCAAGUGUUGAACGGACGGCACCUCCGCGUUCCGCACACGUACAGCUCGAUGACGAUCUCCGCCUUCUUGAUCCAGCAAGAGGGGCGGAGAGGUAGAUGAGUUCUCCAGCAUGGCGAUGUGGUGGUGGUGUUGGUGGUGCUAUUCCAGCAGGGCUUCGCCUAAGCACCGCUGAAACUAGAGGAGAAACAGAUCUAGAGAGAGAGGGCAGCACGUGGCUGUUUCUGUUGUCCAAAAACCCUCAAAACCCUUAGUAUAUAUAGGAGGAGAGGAGGGAGAGGGUUGCGCCCUAGAGCAACCUUCUCUUCCCUUGCGCAAGGGAGAGGAGGAGGAGUCCUACUCCAAUCCUAUUUGGAGUAGGAUUCCUCCUUCCCACUUGGAAACUCUUUCCACCUUGUGUUUUUCCUUCUCAAACCUUAUGGGUCUUAGUGGGAACUUAUUCGAGCCCACUAGGGGAUGGUUUAUCUCUUGCCACAGCCCAUAAGGCCUCUUGGGGCGUGACACCCCUCCCGAUGGUCCCCGGCACACCUCCCGGCACUCCCGGUACACUACCGAUGAGCCCGAAACUUUUCCCGUGACCAAAACAGGACUCCCUAUAUAUCAAUCUUCAUUUCCGGACCAUUCUGGAAACCUUCGUGAUGUACGGGAUCUCAUCCGGCACUCUGAACAACCUUCGGUCACCAACACAUAUAACUUAACUAUACCGAAACAUCACCGAACUUUAAGUGUGUAGACCCUGCGGGUUCGAGAACUAUGUAGACAUGACCUGAGACACUCUUCGGUCAAUAACCAACGGCGGGACCUCGAUGUUCAUAUUGGCUCCUACAUAUUCUACGAAUAUCUCUAUCGGUUGAACCUCUAUGUCAAGGAUUAAUAUAAUCCCGUAUACUAUUCCCUUUGUCCUUCGGUAUGUUACUUGCCCGAGAUUCGAUCGUUGGUAUCUCCAUACCGAGUUCAAUCUCGUUACCGGCAAGUCUCUUUACUCGUUCCAUAAUACAAGAUCUCGUGACUAACUCCUUAGUCAUAUUGCUUGCAAGGCUUGUUGUGAUGUUGUAUUACCGAGUGGGCCCCCUAGAUACCACUCCGUCACAUGGAGUGACAAAUCACAGUCUUGAUCCAUGCCAACCUAAUAGACACCUUUGGAGAUACGUGUAGAGCACCUUUAUGGUCACCCAGUUAUGUUGUGACGUUUGAUACACACAAGGCAUUCCUCCGGUGUCCGGGAGUUGUGAUACGUCCAUUUUGCAUCAUGUUUUCAUGUUGAUAUUUAUUGCUUCUUGGGAUGUUAUAUUACUUGUGGUGCCAUAUUUAUGCCUUUUCGCUCUUAUUUUGCAAGGAUUAUUUGAAGAGGGAGAAUUCAGGCAGCUGGAAUUCUGGACUAGAAAAGGAGCAAAUCCUAGUCCACUAUUCUGCACAUCUCCAAAUGCCCUGAAAAUUUUCGUGGAUUUUUUCUAGAAUAUAUUAAAAAUACUGGGCGAAAGAACUACCAGAGGGGGCCACCAGGGCCCCACAAGCUUGCCCACCGCCGCCGCCCCCCUGGUGGCGCACGGCAGGCUUGUGGGCAGCCCACUGGCCCACUAGCCCCCCUCUUUUGCUAUAUGAUGCGUCCUGACCUGGAGAAAAUCAUACAGGAGCUUUUUCGUGGUUUCCCCGCCGCCACAGGGCGGAACUUGAGUAGAUCCAAUCUAGAGCUCCGGCAGGACGAUCUUGUCGGGGAAAUUUCCCUCCCGGAGGGGGGAAUCAUCACCAUCUUCAUCACCAACACUCCUCUCAGCGGAGGGGAGGCAUCUUCAUCAACAUCUUCAUCGGCACCAUCUCUUCUCCAAUCCCUAGUUCAUCUCUUGUAACCAAUCUUCGUCUCGCAACUCAGAUUAGUACUUGUAAGGUUGCUAGUAGUGUUGAUUACUCUUUGUAGUUGAUGCUUGUUGGAUUACUUGGUGGAAGAGUUUAUGUUCAGAUCCUUGAUGCUAUUCAUUACACCUCUGGUCAUGAUUAUGAUUAUAUCUUGUGAGUAGUUACUUUUGUUCCUAAGGACAUGGAAUAAGUCAUGCUGAUAAUAGUCAUGUGAAUUUGAUAUUCGUUCAGUAUUUUGAUAUGAUGUAUGUUGUUUUUCCUCUAGUGGUGUUAUGUGAACGUGGACUACAUAACACUUCACCAUAUUUGAGCCUAGAGGAAGGCAUUGUGAAGUAGUAAGUAGAUGAUGGGUUGCUGGAGUGACAGAAGCUUAAACCCCAGUUUAUGCGUUGCUUCGUGAGGGGAUGAUUUGGAUCCACUAGUUUAAUGCUAUGGUUAGACUUUGUCUUAAUUCUUCUUUUGUAGUUGCGGAUGCUUGCUAGAGAGGUUAAUCAUAAGUGGGAUGCUUGUCCAAGUAAGGUCAGUACCCAAGCGCCGGUCCACCCACAUAUCAAACUAUCAAAGUAACGAACGCGAAUCAUAUGAACAUGAUGAAACUAGCAUGACAGAAAUUCUCAUGUGUCCUCGGGAGCAUUUUUCCUCCUAUAUGACUUUGUUCAGGCUUGUCCCUUGCUACAAAAGGGAUUGGGCCACUUGCUGCACCGUUGCUACUACUUGUUAUUUGUUACUCUUUGCUUGCUACGUUUCACCUCGCUACACAAUCACUUGUUACCGCUACUUUCAGUGCUUGCAGUUAUUACCUUGCUGAAAUUCGUUUAUCACAGCCUUCUGCUCCUCGUUGGGUUCGACAAUCUUACUUAUAGAAAGGACUAUGAUUGAUCCCCUAUACUUGUGUUGGAAAUAUGCCCUAGAGGCAAUAAUAAAUUAGUUAUUAUUAUAUUUCUUUGUUCAUGAUAAUCGUUUCUUAUCCAUGCUAUAAUUGUAUUGAUUGGAAACACAGUGCAUGUGUGGAUACACAGACAAAACACAGUCCCUAGUAAGCCUCUAGUUGACUAGCUCGUUGAUCAAAGAUGGUCAAGGUUUCCUGACCAUAGGCAAGUGUUGUCACUUGAUAACGGGAUCACAUCAUUAGGAGAAUCAUGUGAUGGACUAGACCCAAACUAAUAAGACGUAGGAUGUUGAUCGUGUCAUUUUGUUGCUAUUGUUUUCUGCGUCUCAAGUAUUUGUUCCUAUGACCAUGAGAUCAUAUAACUCACUGACACCGGAGGAAUGCUUUGUGUGUAUCAAACGUUGCAACGUAACUGGGUGACUAUAAAGAUGCUCUAUAGGUAUCUCCGAAGGUGUUCGUUGAGAUAGUAUGGAUCGAGACUGGGAUUUGUCACUCCGUGUGACGGAGAGGUAUCUCGGGGCCCACUCGGUAAUACAACAUCACNNNNNNNNNNNNNNNNNNNNNNNNNNNNNNNNNNNNNNNNNNNNNNNNNNNNNNNNNNNNNNNNNNNNNNNNNNNNNNNNNNNNNNNNNNNNNNNNNNNNNNNNNNNNNNNNNNNGGUAAACGAGAUUGAAAUAGGUAUGCGGAUACUGACGAUCGAAUCUCGGGCAAGUAACAUACCGAAGUACAAAGGGAAUGACAUACGGGAUUAUAUGAAUCCUUGGCACCGAGGUUCAAACGAUAAGAUCUUCGUAGAAUAUGUAGGAUCCAAUAUGGGCAUCCAAGUCCCGCUAUUGGAUAUUGACCGAGGAGUCACUCGGGUCAUGUCUACAUAGUUCUCGAACCCGCAGGGUCUGUACACUUAAGGUUCGACGUUGUUUUAUGCGUAUUUGAGUUAUAUGGUUGGUUACCGAAUGUUGUUCGGAGUCCCGGAUGAGAUCACGGACAUCACGAGGGUUUCCGGAAUGGUCCGGAAACAAAGAUUGAUAUAUAGGAUGACCUCAUUUGAUUACCGGAAGGUUUUCGGAGUUACCGGGAAUAUACCGGGAAUGACGAAUGGGUUCCUCGGAAUGUACCAGGAAUGACGAAUGGGUUCCGGGUGUUCACCGGGGGGGCAACCCACCCCGGGGAAGCCCAUAGGCCUUGGGGGUGGCGCACCAGCCCUUAGUGGGCUGGUGGGACAGCCCAAUAAGGCCCUAUGCGCCAUAGGAAGAAAAUCAAAGAGAAAAAGGAAAAAAGAAAAGGGGAGGUGAGAAAAAGGGGAAGGACUCCACCUUCCAAACCUAGUUGGAUUCGGUUUGGAAGGGGAGGACUCCCCCCCUUGGCUCGACCGACCCCCAAGGCAAGGCCCCCCUCUCCCACCUAUAUAUACGGAGGUUUUAGGGUUGAUUUGAGACAACUUUGCCACGGCAGCCCGACCACAUACCACCAUGGUUUUACCUCUAGAUCGCGUUUCUGCGGAGCUCGGGUGGAGCCCUGCUGAGAUUAGAUCACCACCAAACUCCGGAGCGCCGUCAUGCUGCCCGAGAACUCAUCUACCUCUCCGUCUCUCUUGCUGGAUCAAGAAGGCCGAGAUCAUCGUCGAGCUGUACGUGUGCUGAACGCGGAGGUGCCGUCCGUUCGGCACUAGAUCGUGGGACGGAUCGCGGGACGGUUUGCGGGGCGGAUCGAGGGACGUGAGGACGUUCCACUACAUCAACCGCGUUUCUUAACGCUUCUGCUGUGCGAUCUACAAGGGUACAUAGAUCAAAUAUCCCCUCUCGUAGAUGGACAUCACCAUGAUAGGUCUUCGUGCGCGUAGGAAAAUUUUUGUUUCCCAUGCGACGUUCCCCAACAACUUGUGGGUCAUCAAGACUCUUUUCUGGCGCCGUUGCCGGGGAGUGAAGCGCCUUUGGUAAGUGGAAAUUGGUAAGGAAACAAUUUUAUACUGUGCUGAAAUUUAUUGUCACUUGUCACUAUGGAAACUCUUCCUUUGAGGAGUUUGUUCGGGGUAUCUUCACCAUGAACGGAAGCACGAGGAUUUGCUCCUCAACCUGAGGUACCUACUGAAAAUAUCUUUUAUAAAAUUCCUUUGGGUAUGCUUGAGAAAUUGCUGGCUAAUCCUUUUACAGGAGAUGGAUCUUCACAUCCAGACUUUCAUCUAAUCUAUGUAGAUGAAGUUUGUGGUUUAUUUAAGCUUGCAGGUUUGCCCGAGGAUGAGGUAAAGAAGAAACUCUUUCCUUUAUCUUUGAAGGAUAAGGCAUUGACAUGGUAUAGGCUAUGUGAUGAUACUGGAUCAUGCAGCUACAAUCGGUUGAAAUUGGAAUUUCAUCAAAAGUUCUAUCCCAUGCAUUUAGUAUAUCAUGAUCGGAACUUUAUUUAUAACUUUUGGCCUCGUGAUAGGGAAAGCAUAGCUCAAGCUUGGGGGAGGCUUAAAUCAAUGCUAUAUUCAUGCCCCAAUCAUGAGCUCUCGAGAGAAAUCAACACUCAAAACAUUUAUGCUCGGAUUUCUCAUGAAGAUCGUACCAUGCUUGAUACUUCUUGUGCCGGUUCUUUUAUGAAGAAGAAUAUUGAUCACAAGUGGAAUUUAUUGGAGAGAAUCAAACGCAACUCUGGAGAUUGGGAGCUGGAGGAAGGUAAGGACUCAGGUAUGAAUUUCUAUUUUGAUUGCGUUAAAUCUUUUGUUGAGACAAACACUUCUAGAGAGCGCUAAGUAUGGACUUGACUCUGAGAUAGUAGCUUCUCUUUGUAAAUCUUUUGCUGCUCAUGUUGAUCUUCCCAAAGAGAAGUGGUUUAAAUAUCAUCCUCCUGUAGAAAGCAACAUAGCCAAAACCAAUCUAGUUGAGGAGAAAAUCAUAGCUUUUAGUGAUCCUGUUGUUCCUUGUGCUUACACUGAGAAACCACCAUACCCUGCUAGGAUGAAGGAUUAUUCUAAAGCUCCAACUGUGAUACGUAGGGGUUACAUUAGACCACUUGCACCCCCUGAAGAGAUUAGAGUUGAACCUAGUGUUGCUAUUAUCAAAGAUCUCUUAGCCAAAGAGAUAGAUGGGCAUGUUAUCAAAUUCUGUGAGGACUCCGCUAGAAUUGCUAAACCUCACGCGAAAGACAAGCACGGACCUGUAGUUGGCCUGCCCGUUGUUUCUGUUAAGAUAGGAGAUCACUGUUACCAUGGUUUAUGUGAUAUGGGAGCUAGUGUUAGUGCAAUACCCCGUUCUCUAUAUGAUGAAAUCAAAGAUGAGAUUGCACCAGCUGAGAUAGAACCCAUUGAUGUCACUAUCACGCUAGCUAAUAGAGACACUAUAUGCCCUUUGGGAAUUGUGAGAGAUGUAGAAGUCCUGUGUGGUAAGACGAAGUAUCCUACUGAUUUCCUCGUCCUUGGUACUACACAAGAUAGCUUUUGUCCCAUCAUAUUCGGUAGACCCUUUCUCAACACUAUCAAUGCUCACAUUGAUUGCAUUAAGCAGACUGUCAUAGUAAGUUUCGAGGGUGUGUCUCAUGAAUUUAACUUCUCCAAGUUUGGAAGACAACCCCAUGAAAGAGAUUCAUCUGGUAGGGAUGAAAUCAUUGCUCUUUCCUCUAUUGCCAUACCUCCUACGAAUCCUUUAGAGCAAUAUCUGCUUGAGCAUGAAAAUGAUAUGCAUACGGAGGAGAGAGAUGAGAUAGAUAGAAUUGUCUUAGAACAAUGUCCUAUUCUCAAGAAUAAUCUGCAUGUUGAACUGCUUGGGGAUCCUCCCCCACCAAAGGGUGAUCCUGUGUUCGAGCUUAAACAGUUGCCUGAUACUCUUAAGUAUGCCUAUCUUGAUGAGAAGGAGAUAUAUCCUGUCAUUAUUAGUGCUCUCCUCUCAGAGCGUGAAGAGAAGAAGUUACUAAAAACUCUGAGGAAGCACCGCGCUGCUAUUGGAUAUACUCUUGAUGAUCUUAAGGGUAUUAGUCCUACUCUAUGUCAGCACAAGAUUAAAACCGAUCCUGACUUUAAACCAGUUGCUGAUCAUCAAAGGAGAUUAAAUCCUAAGAUGAAAGAGGUCGUUAGAAAAGAAAUAUUAAAGCUUCUGGAAGCAGGAAUCAUUUAUCCUAUUGCUCAUAGUGAUUGGGUAAGUCCAGUACAUUGCGUACCUAAGAAGGGAGGUAUCACCGUCGUUCCUAAUGAUAAGGAUGAACUAAUCCCACAAAGGAUUAUUACCGGCUAUAGAAUGGUGAUAGACUUCCGGAAACUGAACAAGGCAACCAGGAAAGAUCAUUAUCCUUUGCCGUUCAUCGACCAAAUGCUAGAAAGGCUAUCAAAGCACACACACUUUUGCUUUCUAGACGGUUAUUCAGGUUUCUCGCAAAUACCUGUUGCAUAAUUUGAUCAAGAGAAAACCACCUUCACCUGCCCUUUCGAUACCUUUGCCUAUAGAUGUAUGCCUUUUGGCUUAUGUAAUGCACCUGCCACCUUUCAAAGAUGUAUGAUGGCUAUAUUCUCUGACUUUUGUGAAAAGAUUGUCGAGGUUUUCAUGGAUGACUUCUCCAUUUACGGGUCUUCCUUUGAUGAUUGCCUCAGCAACCUUGAUCGAAUCUUACAGAGAUGCGAAUAAACCAACCUCGUCUUGAAUUGGGAGAAGUGCCACUUUAUGGUUAAUGAAGGUAUCGUCUUAGGACACAAAAUCUCUGAAAGAGGCAUUGAAGUUGAUAAGGCUAAGGUUGAUGCAAUUGAGAAAAUGCCUUGCCCCACAGAUAUCAGAGGUAUACGAAGUUUCCUAGGUCAUGCUGAUUUCUAUAGAAGGUUCAUUAAAGACUUCUCUAAGAUUUCUAGGCCUCUUACCAACCUCUUGCAGAAGGAUGUUCCUUUUGUUUUUGAUGAGGAUUGUGAGGAAGCCUUCGAAAUACUUAAGAAGGCUUUGAUAACCGCACCUAUUGUUCAACCACCUGACUGGAACUUUCCCUUUGAAAUCAUGUGUGACGCUAGUGAUUAUGCUGUUGGUGUUGUUCUAGGACAAAGAGUUGACAAGAAGUUGAAUGUCAUUCACUACGCUAGUAAAACUCUAGACAGUGCCCAAAGGAACUAUGCCACUACGGAGAAGGAAUUUUUAGCACUCGUGUUUGCAUGUGAAAAAAUCAGAUCUAACAUAGUUGACUCCAAGGUCACUAUUCACUCUGAUCAUGCUCCUAUUAAGUACCUUAUGGAGAAGAAGGACGCUAAGCCUAGGCUUAUCAGAUGGGUUCUCCUGCUACAGGAAUUUGAUUUGCACGUCAUUGACCGAAAGGGUGCUGAUAACCCUGUAGCAGAUAACUUGUCUAGGCUAGAGAAUGUCCUUGAUGACCCACUACCAAUUGAUGACAGCUUUCCUGAUGACCAAUUAAAUGUCAUCCGCACUUCACUUAGUGCACCAUGGUAUGCCGAUUAUGCAAACUAUAUCGUAGCCAAAUACAUACCACCCAGUUUCACCUAUCAACAAAAGAAGAAAUUCUUCUUUGAUUUGAGACACUACUUUUGGGAUGAUCCUCACCUUUAUAAGGAAGGAGUAGAUGGUGUUAUUAGACGUUGUGUGCCUGAACAUGAACAGGGACAGAUCCUGCAGAAGUGUCAUUCCGAAGCCUACGGAGGACACCACGCUGGAGAUAGAACUGCCCAUGAGGUAUUGCAAUCAGGUUUCUAUUGGCCCACUCUCUUCAAGGAUGCUCGUAAGUUUGUCUUGUCUUGUGACAAAUGCCCAAGGAUAGGGAACAUCAGUAAGCGUCACAAGAUGCCUAUGAACUAUUCACUUGUCAUUGAACCAUUUGAUGUCUGGGGCUUUGAUUAUAUGGGACCCUUCCCGAGUUCCAGUGGGUACACUCACAUCUUAGUUGUUGUGGAUUACGUUACUAAGUGGGUAGAAGCUAUCCCCACUAAAAAUGCUGAUCACCACAACUCUAUUAAGAUGCUUAAAGAAGUUAUAUUCCCAAGAUUUGGAGUCCCUAGAUACUUGAUGACUGAUGGCGGUUCACACUUCAUUCAUGGUGUUUUCCGCAAGAUGCUAGCUAAGUAUGAUGUCAACCAUAGAGUUGCAUCUCCUUAUCAUCCUCAGUCUAGUGGUCAAUUGGAGUUGAGUAAUAGGGAGAUCAAGUUGAUCUUACAAAAGACCGUCAAUAGAUCCCGAAAGAACUGGUCUAGCAAACUUGACGAUGCACUAUGGGCUUAUAGGACUGCUUAUAAAAAUCCCAUGGGCAUGUCACCGUAUAAAAUGGUUUACGGUAAGGCCUGUCAUUUACCUCUUGAGUUGGAACACAAAGCUUAUUGGGCAAUCAAAGAGCUCAACUUUGAUUUCAAACUUGCCAGUGAGAAGCGGUUGUUUGAUAUCAGCUUGUUGGAUGAAUGGAGAGCCCAGGCAUAUGAGAAUACCACGUCGUCAAGGAAAAGGUUAAGAGAUGGCACGACAAACGAAUACAGAAACGAGAGUUCAAUGUAGGUGAUUAUGUCUUGCUAUACAAUUCUCGUUUGAGAUUCUUUGGAGGCAAGCUUCUCUCUAAAUGGGAAGGUCCCUACGUUGUCGAGGAAGUAUAUCGUUCCGGUGCCAUCAAAAUCAAUAAUACAAGGAAAUUUUCCUAGAGUGGUAAAUGGGCAAAGAAUCAAGCAUUACAUCUCUGGUACUCCCAUAAAUGUUGAGACCAAUAUCAUCAAUGUCAUAACUCCACAGGAGUACAUAAGGGAUGUUUAUCAGCCUGUUUCAGACCUUGAAAACGAAGAUGUAUCUGUUUCGGCAAGAAAUUGGACUCCGAUACUUUUCCAAUAGGAAAUUUCCUCAGUUUUGGAAUUUUUGGAAAAUUAGAAAAAUAAAAAAGCAGUCCGGAGAGCAAACGAGGAAGCCACAAGGGCCCACUCCGCCACCACCCCCUGGUGGCGGUGGGCAAGCUUGUGGGCACCUUGUGUGCCUCCCGGACUCCGUUUUCUUGCAGAGGACUCCUUCUGGCCCAGAAAAAAUCAAUAUAUAGUUGCCCGAAGGUUUUGAUCUUCAUAUCGCGUAGUUUUCCUCUGUUUUCGUUUCGAGCUUGUUUCUGCCGCAGAUCUAGAUCAUCAUGACUUCCCCAAACGCUCCUAAGGACAAGAUCUUGGAGAAGGUCAUCAAUCCCUACCUCACGGAAGUGCUAAAACACCAUCAAUCUAUCAAGAUGAGCGAGGGGAUGUUGCACAUCCGUGAUGUUGAGGGGCCUAAGAAGACCGGAAGCAUGGAGACGAGGCUCGAAGUAGUGGAGCAACAAGUCUUCAUGUGCCAAGGGAUGGUUGAGCGUGGACUCAACGCCAACCACACGAUGAUCACGGAGUUCACUAGCAAUCACAAGAUGGAUGUCAUUGAUAUCGGGAAACACCUCUCCAGACUUUACGAUAGGGUUGACCAACUUCAGGGCCAAAUCUAUGACCUGCAGAAUCAAAACUGUGAGUAUGGGUAUAGAUUUAAAUCAAUAAGGUUGGCUGCAGAUUUGAGGAUUUCGGCUACUCGUUCAUCCUGCCAUGAUGGAGCACCUAUGCCUUGGAAGACGGAGGAUCAGACUACUCCAACAACACCACCAUCAUCACCAAAGGAAGACAACUAAGCAUUGGUAUGGGCAAUCCCCUUGGCUUCUGCCGAGCUUGGGGGAGUUGCCCUGGUAUCAUAUCACCUUUAUAUCUUUUGCUUUUACCUUUGUUUUAGUUCUUUCCCUUUCAGUUUUUAUUUCUUCUUUUAGAGGAAUAAGUCUUUAGUUUUUAGUUUGAGUCUUUUGCUUUUGGUCUCUCCCCCGAUGUAUUCGAGCUUACGAGCUAUAUAAUAAAGAGUGUCUUAGUCAAAGGGCUUUGCUUUGUGCCAUGAUCAAAAGUAUGAAAAGAACGAUAGCAUGAAAGAUCAUGAGACGAUCUUAUGGAAAGUGAUAACUUCACUUAUGACACGUAUGAUGAUUGAAACUUGUCGAGAAUAAAUCAACACAUACCUCAGUCAUUGUUGCAAUUAAUAAGAAGUAAUAAGGAAAGAGAGGUUCACAUAUAAAUAUAUCAUCUUAGACACUUUCUACAAUUGUGAGCACUCACCAAACUAUUACAUGCCUAGGAGUAGAUGUUGGACAAGGAAGACAACAUAAUGAAUUGUGUUUGCUUGGUUCCAAACAAUGUUAUAUGAUUAGAGAUCCCUUAGCAUGUGACGAUUGCUUCCACCUCAUAUUAGCCAAAACUUCCGCACCAAGUAGAGAUACUACUUGUGCAUCCAUAAACCUUCAACCCAGUUUUGCCAUGAGAGUCCACCAUACCUACCUAUGGAUUGAAUAAGAUCCUUCAAGUAAGUUGUCAUCGGUGCAAGCAAUAAAAAUUGCUCUCUAAUAUGUAUGAUCUAUUAGUGUGUGGAAAAUAAGCUUUGUACGAACCUGUGAUGAGGAAGACAUAAAAGCGACAGACUGCAUAAUAAAGUUCUUUGUCACAGGAGGCAAUAUAAAGUGACGUUCCUCCGCACUAAGAGGACACGCAUUCAAACCUCAAAAGUGCAUGACAACCUCUGCUUCCCUCUGCGAAGGGCCUAUCUUGUACCUUUACUUUUACCCUUGUAAGAGUCAUGGUGAUCAUCACCAAUUCCCUUUUUGCCUUCGUCUUGGCUACCGUCACAUGCUUGGAAAAGAUCUAUAUUCAUAUAUCAACUUGGAGUUGAGUACUCAUGCUUUAUUGUUGUUGACUUUACCCUUGAGGUAAACCGUUGGGAGGAAAAACUAUAAGCCCCCAUCUUCCUCUGUGUCGAGCUGAAGCUUUGACACCAUGAGUACCACGUGAGCUAUAAAAAUUGUGGAAAACAAAAGAGAUGAUUGAGUAUGUGGGUUUGCCUUACAAGCUCUUAUUUGACUCUUUCUGAUGUUGUGAUAAAUUGCAAUUGCUUCAAUGAUUAUGGACUAUUGUUGGUUACUUCUCGGUAAGGUUUUUGCUUCAUGCUUUGCUUUGUGAAGGAAUUGUUACUUUCCCAUAAGAAUCUUUAUAUAUAUUGUUGUUCUAUGUGUGAUCAUGAUGCCCUCAUGUCUGUAUUAUGUUUUAUCGACACCUUCGUCCCUCAACAUGUGGACGUGUUUAUGGAACUUGGUUUUCGCUUGAGGACAAGCGAGGUCUAAGCUUGGGGGAGUUGAUACGUCCAUUUUGCAUCAUGUUUUCAUGUUGAUAUUUAUUGCUUCUUGGGAUGUUAUAUUACUUGUGGUGCCAUAUUUAUGCCUUUUCGCUCUUAUUUUGCAAGGAUUAUUUGAAGAGGGAGAAUUCAGGCAGCUGGAAUUCUGGACUAGAAAAGGAGCAAAUCCUAGUCCACUAUUCUGCACAUCUCCAAAUGCCCUGAAAAUUUACGUGGAUUUUUUCUGGAAUAUAUUAAAAAUACUGGGCGAAAGAACUACUGGAGGGGGGCCACCAGGGCCCCACAAGCUUGCCCACCACCACCACCCCCUGGUGGCGCACGGUAGGCUUGUGGGCAGCCCACUAGCCCACUAGCCCCCCUCUUUUGCUAUAUGAUGCGUCCUGACCUGGAAAAAAUCAUACAGGAGCUUUUUCGUGGUUUCGCCGCCACCACGGGGCGGAACUUGAGCAGAUCCAAUCUAGAGCUCUGGCAGGACAAUCCUGCCGGGGAAAUUUCCCUCCCGGAGGGGGGAAUCGUCGCCAUCUUCAUCACCAACACUCCUCUCGUCGGAGGGGAGGCAUCUUCAUCAACAUCUUCAUCAGCACCAUCUCUUCUCCAAUCCCUAGUUCAUCUCUUGUAACCAAUCUUCAUCUCGCAACUCAAAUUGGUACUUGUAAGGUUGCUAGUAGUGUUGAUUACUCUUUGUACUUGAUGCUUGUUGGAUUACUUGGUGGAAGAUUUUAUGUUCAGAUCCUUGAUGCUAUUCAUUACACCUCUGGUCAUGAUUAUGAUUAUGUCUUGUGAGUAGUUACUUUUGUUCCUGAGGACAUGGAAUAAGUCAUGCUGAUAAUAGUCAUGUGAAUUUGAUAUUCGUUCGGUAUUUUGAUAUGAUGUAUGUUGUUUUUCCUCUAGUGGUGUUAUGUGAAUGUCAACUACAUAACACUUCACCAUAUUUGGGUCUAGAGGAAGGCAUUGGAAAGUAGUAAGUAGAUGAUGGGUUGCUGGAGUGACAGAAGCUUGAACCCCAGUUUAUGCGCUACUUCGUGAGGGGUUGAUUUGGAUCCACUAGUUUAAUGCUAUGGUUAGACUUUGUCUUAAUUCUUCUUUUGUAGUUGCGGAUGCUUGCGAGAUAGGUUAAUCAUAAGUGGGAUGCUUGUCCAAGUAAGGGCAGUACCCAAGUGCCGGUCCACCCACAUAUCAAACUAUCAAAGUAACGAAUGCGAAUCAUAUGAACAUGAUGAAACUAGUAUGACAGAAAUUCCCGUGUGUCCUCGGGAGCGUUUUCCUCCUAUAAGACUUUGUUCAGGCUUGUCCCUUGCUACAAAAGGGAUUGGGCCACUUGCUGCACCGUUGCUACUACUUGUUACUUGUUACUCUUUGCUUGCUACGUUUCACCUCGCUACACAAUCACUUGUUACCGCUACUUUCAGUGCUUGCAGUUAUUACCUUGCUGAAAUCCGUUUAUCAGAGCCUUUUGCUCCUCGUUGGGUUCGACACUCUUACUUAUCGAAAUGACUACGAUUGAUCCCCUAUACUUGUGGGUCAUCAAGUUGCGUGAUCACAUGGUCAUAGGAACAGAAACAUUGACAUGCAGAAAAAUAGUAGCAAUAAACUGACACGAUCAUAUGCUACAUUUAUAGUUCGGUUCUUGUCCAUCACAUCAUUCUCCCAAUGAUGUGAUCCCGUCAUCAAGUGACAACACUUGCCUAUGGCCAGGAAACCUUGACCAUCUUUGAUCAACGAGCUAGUCAACUAGAGGCUCACUAGGGACAGUGGGUUGUCUAUGUAUCCACACAUGUAUUUGAGUUUCCAAUCAAUACAAUUCUAGCAUGGAUAAAUAAAUGAUUAUUACGAACAAGGAAAUAUAAUAAUAACCAAUUUAUUAUUGCCUCUAGGGCAUAUUUCCAACAAUUUCUAUGUAAAAGGUGCGGAUAGUACCUCAUUCUCGUCUAUCCCAAGCUGAGGUAUGUCACCGACCCUAUGCUCAUCCAUGCAUACAAAAUUAUCCACUGGAGCCCUGAAUAAUUUUUUAUAGUAUUCAAAGAUAUAUUGUUUGAGAUUCUCAUGUCCCACAAUUGUACCCUCAUCUUGUUCUAGCUGGAUAAUUUUUUUAUUCCUAUGCUUUCCAUUAGCUAUUAGAUGGAAAUGUUGUGUGUUGUCAUCUCCUUGUACCACUUGGAGGACUUUCGCUCUUAGUGCCCACUUCAACUCCUCCUCUCUGAGUAGUUGUUUGAGCUUUAGUUCAGCCUCCAUUUUUCAAUGACCUCUCAUUGUCACCUAAUAACGUUUGUUCGGCUUUUAUGUCUAGUGUGUUUAUAAGUUUAUAAGUUCGACAAGCCUUUGUUUCUUUUUCUUAUAAAUUACACUAUCGUGCUUUUCCCAACCCCUUAAGAAUUGCCUCAGGUGUCUUAUCUUAUUUUGCCACCUGUCAACAUUCGAGUCACCUUCUGUGAAAUAGCCCAUUCUCAAACCCGUCCCUUUCAAACCAUCCCAAUUCGAAAGAAAAAAGGUUUUUAUUUCCCACAUGUGUUGCUUCUCGCGAGUCUACAAACAGUGGGGUAUGAUCAGAGAUAGCUCUUGGUAACUCUCAAACUGUGACGAGAGGGAAUUUCUGCUCCCAUUCCACACUCAUGAGAACCCGGUCCAACUUCUCAAAAGUUGGGUUAGGUAAAGAGUUUGCCCAAGUAAACUUUCUCCCUGAUAGCUCAAUCUCCCACAAAUUAAGGCUCUCGAUGAUUGAAUUAAACAUAAAUGACCAUCUUCCAUCAAAGUUAUCACUGUUUUUCUCAUCCUGCCUCCAGAUUAUAUUAAAAUCGCCCCCUACUAAAAUCGGCAGUCUCUCGUCCCCGCAGAUUCGGACAAGGUCAGCCAAGAAAUCUCUCUUGAACUCAGGCUGGGCCGCCCCAUGCACAUCUACGAGUGCCCAUUGGAACCCGUCAUCUUUGGAGCGAACUCAAAAUUUGACUGCAAAGUCUCCAUACACCACUUUCGUAGUUGUGGUGUCUCGCACCGAACCCCAAGCAAGAUCCCACCUGAUCUUCCUCUUGGAGGUAGACAAUGCCAGUCAAAUUCAGAACCUCCAUACAACGUGUUUAAAAACGAAGCUAUAUAGUUAUCUCUCCCAGUUUCCAUCAAUGCAACGAAAUCCAAUUUGUGCUCAAUAGUUGUUUCAGCUAGGAAUCUUCUUUUAGCCAAGUCUGCUAGACCUCUGCUAUUCCAAAAUGUUCCUUUCAUCGCUCAUCAUGAAAUUUCUUAGCCGUUUUAAAUCUAGCACUACGACGCACAGCUGAAACAGGAUAGACUUUUCUCUUCCAGGUUCUUUUUGGCCUAUCCUGAACCUCCGACCGAUCCACAUAACCGUUGGACUCUUGUGCGUUAGCAUUCGUUUGUGGAGGAGCCUCAUACCCCUCCUGAACGAUAUCAUUUGUGUCUUCAAGCAAAAGGGGGGUGGCACAAGAUCCUCACAUAAACGCUCUAAGGCUCCCAAACCCAAUGCAUUUAUAUCAGAAUCAUUCAUAGGUUUUACGGCUGCAAUUUUUCUGACCAUCUCAAUUGCCCUCUCUGCCUCUAAGUCUAACAUGUCAUUUACCGAUCUAGAUAUCUCCUGGUCUACCAAACGCUAGAAUAAGGCCUAGUAACGGGCCCGACCCAUGCCAUUUUGGCCCAUGACUGCAACCAAACACACCCUUAAGUAACUUCUACAAUAUCCAUCCCCAACUUCCAGAAAUUCUAACACUUAAAAAAUCAAAAUCAAACUAUUGGCAUUUAAAACUUUCAUACAUUUCAUUUCUGAAAAAAAUGGUCUUUUAGAUUUCGAAAUAUCAGUAUUAUAUUUUUUACAAAAUUUAACUUUAAGAAUUUUCAAAAUUAUAAGGAUUCAAAAUUCAAAUGUUUUAGCACUUAAAAAAAUUCAAACUUUAAAAAAAUUGAACUUUCAAAUGUUUUGAAUUUUAAGAAGUGUGAACUUUCAUUUUUUUAUAAAGGAUGGGUUUUAUUUACUCAAAAUAAAGCAUCAAGAGCAUACAAAUACAAUAAGAACACACCCGGCCACUUUAUAACUAGGAUGCACACAACCAACUCAAACUCACACACACAAAAAUACGAUCGGUAAAUAGCAAAGUCAUAUAAGACCAAAGCUAUGUGCGCGGUUGGAAAAAGAAACCAAAGCGACCAUAUUGGCAAUGGACAAACUACAACAAUGACCAUAUCUGCACCAACAAUUUCAUUACACCACACGGACAACGAGGUUCCUCAACAAUGACACCUUCAGAAAGGGAGCGACGCUCAAAUGCCGCUAUCAUCGGAUCCAACCAUCCAAGGUCAGAUGCAAGAUUUUCACUCUGAGAAUCAGUCCAAGCAUGUCCGAGCAAUUCCUUCAAUAAGGUAAUGGCGUAAAAACAUCGCCAUUGCCAGGUACAGCCAACUCGAGUUGGACCUAGGCUUUCACCCGGGAGCUCAAGACCGGGUGCUCGAGAAGCACCACCAUCGAAGUCACUAUGUGUUGUUGCCACUACUUUUCCACAAUCUCAGUAGCUAUAUGCGAUGUGUGACCGCUGAUGCUGCACAACCAUCCCUCUACAUCAAGCCAUCAUCAAUAGUUUCAAUCUCACCGUUGAAGUCAACCAUCGGAUCUCCAAGAUCAAUCAUGAAGACCUUUUGAUGGAUACUACAUCAAUCCGCCGCGAGACCGCCACCGUAGUCAUGGUGGUCACCACACGUUCGUCGUCACGCCCCUAGCAGACCUAAAGGUCCACACCAAGGAACCACGGGUCCACACGCAUGGAGCCAUGGAUGUGUGUGUGGAUCAUGAAACGACCAAUCCAUGGCCAUGGCCAUUAGAUGAGACUAUCCCUGGCUGAUGGCAGGUGUCCAAGCCCUGCCGACAUGGCCACUACACCAUGGGCGCCAUCCCACAUGAAGGAGCCACCAGGCGGAGCAGCGACCACAAGUGAGGCGAGAUCUACACCAGCAAUGGCUGGAUCAUCCAGGUAACUGUCCGCUGGAUCUGUGGUGACAUCGUUGGAGGAAGCACGGGGUAGAGAGUGUGAAUCUGGGUUGGGGGAGAGGGGAAGGUCGGGGAAGAAGAUCCCUGUGGCGGUUGAGUCCCGCCGCCGCUGACAAACUGUCAUCGAUGAUGACGACGAGGAUGGAACAUCGGAGGCGGCCUCGAGUGCUAGGGUUUCUCGCCCCCGGUGUCGCCCUGGAGCAACACGGGAGGCCGAUGGCGAUUUCAUAGGAGAGAGAGAGAGAAGGUUGAGAAAUAGAAUCACAUGGUUGGGCAUGUGAGGAAAGAGAGAGAUGGAAAGAAGCACAUGGAUGAGGCCCCCUCGUCCUAUCUACCACAUGGUAACCUGACACAGUCACAUGCAAUGCUUGCGGCAAUGACCAUGGGCACAGUUCCCACAAGAGAGCAUUCUUAGAGUAAUAGCGAGUCUCAUCCUCAUGUUGGAUGCCUAUAUAAAGCUUCUCCUUUCCAACAUUCAUCAUACGAAUUGGCCAAAAUUUCUUUCUCAUUUGUGAUCUUUCAUCACAUUCAACUUUCCUUUGUAUAUAUUGUUGCUAAGCUUCAAAUUCUAAUCAGCUGGAGCUAAGCAAUGAAUUCUUCAUGCCAUCGAGCAUUCCUCGUGAGGAACAUCUUUUGUACUUUGGAAUGAGUGGUAUCGAGAAAUUAGUCAGGACGACUUUCUGAGGCUGAGGCGCCGCUUUUUUCUGUUCUCGUCUCUGAGACGUUGAGGUGGUAGACAUUUAUGAUAAGUGCAUUUCUUGUUGAGAAUAGCAUCGAUAAUCAUGUCUAGUCUAACAACUUGCUCAUUUAGGACUACCCUGGACAGUGCAACAAGUAAAAUACCAAAUCCUUGUACAAAAACAAGUUGUUGCCCUGUGGUGAGGAGUUGAAGCUAUGGCAUGAACUCGUCCAUGUGUGCGGUAUUUCUCCUUGUUGUUUCCAUCGUCUCUAGAAAUCGCUAAAAAGAUCAAAAACAAUAUCAAACCGUUGACACUAUGUGUCUACCAUCUCACACAAAUUCGAACCCAUAUCCAUCGCAGAUCUCCAAAAACAAACAAACAAGACGGAUCCAGUGUUGAACAGCAUAGCAACUAAUUCAAAUCAGCACAUGAACACAUCAUAUCAUCAGCACCAACACAAGAUUGUUUUUUUUUCUCUUUUCUUCAAACAAUAUCCUGAUUAAGGUUUAAAUAUUCUUGUGGCGUUGUAAAUACAUGUUGUGUGUCAGAGACAUAAUUCUUUUUCAAAUAAAAAAACAUAACUUUUUUUACCACAAAUUUUUCUAGGCUUAUGUGUGUGUAUCUUCCUUGUUUCAGUUCCAAGUGACAAGAGGCAAACUUGUCACGGUUGACUGAAUAGAACAGUAGCAAUCGACCUGCCCGGAGCUUCUAUUUUUUGUAGGUGAUUUUCUCUGUUAAGAGUGACUUCUUCUUUUUUGAGAGUUUUGUUAAGAGUGACAUGAAAUCUGCAUAUGGCGAUCGAGCACGCAUGCCGGCGAUCCCACACGGCGCACCGCAGCCACAAGCCGAUCGCCCCCACAAAAUCUGCCCGACGGCUCCCACCGGGAUGGGAUUCCCCGGUGCCAAUGGCGCGCGCCCACCUCACCCCCUCUUAUCCCCGCCUCACCCACUCGCGCCACGCCCCUUAUCCCCUCCUCUUACAAACCCACACAAACUAAUCAUCGCCCACCACCCUCCAACGAUCACCAACCAAAACCCCUCCACACGCCCGCCCGCGCGCGCCACGGACGCAGCAAUGGCCGCCCUCGCCGCCUCCAUCGCCACCUCCACGGCGUUCGCCGCGAAGCCGCGCCUGUCCCGCCCGCCGGCGCGCCUCUCCGUCUCCUGCUCCGCGUCCAGCGGCGACAACAACAACAGCACCGCCACCCCCUCGCUCUCCGCCUCCAUCAAGACCUUCUCGGCCGCGCUGGCGCUCUCCUCCGUGCUCCUCUCCUCCGCCGCCACCUCCCCGCCCCCCGCGGCUGCCGACAUCGCCGGCCUGACCCCGUGCAAGGAGUCCAAGGCCUUCGCCAAGCGGGAGAAGCAGUCGGUCAAGAAGCUCAACUCGUCGCUCAAGAAGUACGCGCCCGACUCCGCCCCGGCGCUCGCCAUCCAGGCCACCAUCGACAAGACCAAGCGCCGGUUCGAGAACUACGGCAAGUUCGGCCUGCUCUGCGGCUCCGACGGCCUGCCCCACCUCAUCGUCAGCGGCGACCAGCGGCACUGGGGCGAGUUCAUCACCCCCGGCGUGCUCUUCCUCUACAUCGCCGGCUGGAUCGGCUGGGUCGGACGCAGCUACCUCAUCGCCGUCAGCGGCGAGAAGAAGCCCGCCAUGAGGGAGAUCAUCAUCGACGUCGAG